Molecule: non-coding RNA, 27 nt
Filed under: Cricetulus griseus (Chinese hamster)
Lineage: Eukaryota; Metazoa; Chordata; Mammalia; Rodentia; Cricetidae
Source: RNAcentral
UCAGGGUGAAAGUAUAUCAGAACAAGG